Molecule: microRNA precursor, 60 nt
Filed under: Ornithorhynchus anatinus (platypus)
Lineage: Eukaryota; Metazoa; Chordata; Mammalia; Monotremata; Ornithorhynchidae
Description: Oan-Mir-599_pre stem-loop
Source: RNAcentral
UUUGAUAAGCUAACAUGAGACAGGAGCUUUUUUUCACGGUUGUGUCAGUGUAUCAGACAC